AGCGAACGCUGGCGGCAGGCUUAACACAUGCAAGUCGAGCGGUCCUUCGGGAUAGUGGCGGACGGGUGAGUAACACGUGGGAACGUACCCUUAGGUUCGGAACAACACAGGGAAACUUGUGCUAAUACCGGAUAAGCCCUUCGGGGGAAAGAUUUAUCGCCUUUGGAGCGGCCCGCGUCUGAUUAGCUUGUUGGUGAGGUAAUGGCUCACCAAGGCUACGAUCAGGAGCUGGUCUGAGAGGAUGGCCAGCCACACUGGGACUGAGACACGGCCCAGACUCCUACGGGAGGCAGCAGUGGGGAAUCUUGCGCAAUGGGCGAAAGCCUGACGCAGCCAUGCCGCGUGGAUGAUGAAGGUCUUAGGAUUGUAAAAUCCUUUCACCGGGGACGAUAAUGACGGUACCCGGAGAAGAAGCCCCGGCUAACUUCGUGCCAGCAGCCGCAGUAA
This 447-nucleotide ribosomal RNA is filed under the name uncultured bacterium. Its description in RNAcentral is "partial 16S ribosomal RNA". It matches the Rfam family "Bacterial small subunit ribosomal RNA", at positions 29 to 523 of the family's 1533-position model. The record is from RNAcentral.